Molecule: long non-coding RNA, 321 nt
Filed under: Vigna radiata
Lineage: Eukaryota; Viridiplantae; Streptophyta; Magnoliopsida; Fabales; Fabaceae
Description: long non-coding RNA (VRAD_LNC010902)
Source: RNAcentral
AGCAAAAGGAUAAAUUAGUUGUAAACACAUAUGAUCGAACAUAUUAUUUGACUCUUUUAGAUUCAAUUUAUCCGAAUAAGUACAAUAGAAUUAAACUCAUGAAGUCGUGCAUUUGUGGUGGUGUACCAUGUCUGUCCAUCCAAUCUACCAUAUACAAGGUUAGUUCCUUACAUAAUCAUGGUGGUUCUUAUGAGGAGAAUUUUUGUCACUCCCAUCACUUAAUCACCCUUUUCUGCAUAAGUAUGGAUGAUUAGUAGGAUUCCAAAUAACUUCAUAUAUGAUUGAACAGUUUUUAACUCAAUGCACACUCUAGAAAAUCAC